UUCCAUAUCUUGCGUUAUGAAAUACAGUAUACUACAUUAUAUUUCAUCCUACAAUCACUAGUACACAUACAAUGUCAAUGAUCCCAAGUGUCAAAUAGAUAAGUUGCAUACUAGAAUAUAACAAACAUGAAAUUUACCAAGUUCAUUGCCAUGGAUUCCCCUCCCUACCAUCACUAUGAUCCUAUUCCUGCCAUCAUCAACACUCACACCUUGUUGAACUCUCAAGCUUAUCAACAACCAACCUACUGCAACACUCCACCAUCACAAUCGAGCCAAUACAUUUUGCCACCAUCCAUACCAUACAUCAACAACCAUAUCUCACCACCACACUCAUACCCAAAUUUCAUUGCCAAUAAUUCCCCUCACUACCUUCCUCGUCACAUUGAUUCUGUUACGCAAUUUAUUUCACCGUUCCCAAAGAGCUUGCAUCCAAGCCAUUUCCAAUCUUGUCUCUGACAUUUCAACAAUCAACAAAUACCACACACCUCCGUCCACCUACAACAACAACAACAUCACUACCUCACCAUCACCAAUUUGGGGCUCCCAGAGAGUUUGCAACUCACUACAGAGAGCGUUUACUCCAUUUCUGAGACUGUCAGCAACUCGCGAAGAGGUGACGCGUGAGCGUAACGCAGAACCACAUGAAAUUGUUAUUGACGGAAACGAUUUUUCCAACAUUUCCGAUUCAAUCUCUGAAAUUAUGCACAAUCUCUGAAAAGGUAUUUGUUGUUGAGACCUUCAAUUCUGAUCUCGUUCCUGACUCUGUUCAAGAGCGAAAGCAACACGUCACUGAGGCAUGUAAAGAUCCGAACCAGUCACGUCUAGAACUCAAUAGUUCUAACAUCGUCUUUUCCGGCGCAACAUUAAUAUAGUCAAAGUCGAAAUCUCCAACGCAAUGGAUUGUUG
RNAcentral lists this long non-coding RNA (906 nucleotides) under Trifolium pratense (red clover). Its description in RNAcentral is "long non-coding RNA (TPRA_LNC012795)". Lineage: Eukaryota; Viridiplantae; Streptophyta; Magnoliopsida; Fabales; Fabaceae. The record is from RNAcentral.